GGAUGUGAAGGCAAUCUGCCUGCGAUAUCUGUUACCCCAUUGAUCACCACGGUUAUUCAGCUUAUCUGGCUGGCUAGGUGGGUUCCCCUUCCUCUCUCAAUGCUCCAAGUGCAUCCCUCCCAAAGCUGCACGCUUGGUGGAAGAGAACGACCACCCAGGAUAGAGGAGGACCAUUCCUCAGUCAAGGGUAUAUGAGUAGCUGAGCUCCCCUGCUAGAACCUCCAAACAAGCUCUUCAGGUCCAAUUAGCUUGUCCAAUGAUCUCAUGGAAUUUGGGGGGUUAGCUUGUCCACUGAUCUCACAGAAUUUGGGGUGAAGCCACUCUCCCAUUUGC
Molecule: small nuclear RNA, 333 nt
Filed under: Chinchilla lanigera (long-tailed chinchilla)
Lineage: Eukaryota; Metazoa; Chordata; Mammalia; Rodentia; Chinchillidae
Description: 7SK RNA (ENSCLAG00000021527.1)
Rfam family: 7SK RNA
About the family: 7SK was discovered as an abundant small nuclear RNA in the mid-70s but a possible function has only recently been suggested. Two independent studies have found that 7SK RNA binds the CDK9/cyclin T complex (known as elongation factor P-TEFb).
Source: Rfam by way of RNAcentral